GAUGAACGCUGGCGGCGUGCCUAAUACAUGCAAGUCGAGCGAACAGACGAGGAGCUUGCUCCUCUGACGUUAGCGGCGGACGGGUGAGUCACACGUGGAUAACCUACCUAUAAGACUGGGAUAACUUCGGGAAACCGGAGCUAAUACCGGAUAAUAUAUUGAACCGCAUGGUUCAAUAGUGAAAGACGGUUUUGCUGUCUCUUAUCGCUGGUUCCGCGCCGCAUUAGCUAGUUGGUAAGGUAACGGCUUACCAAGGCAACGAUGCGUAGCCGACCUGAGAGGGUGAUCGGCCACACUGGAACGUGGACACGGUCCAUGCUCCUACGGGAGGCAGCAGUAGGGAAUCUUCCGCAAUGGGCGAAAGCUUGACGGAGCAACGGCGCGUGAGUGAUGAAGGUCUUCGGAUCGUAAAACUCUGUUAUUAGUGAAGAACAAAUGUGGAAGUAACUGUGCACGUCGUGACGGUACCUAAUCAAAAAGCCACGGCUAACUACGUG
RNAcentral lists this ribosomal RNA (497 nucleotides) under uncultured bacterium. RNAcentral describes it as "partial 16S ribosomal RNA". It matches the Rfam family "Bacterial small subunit ribosomal RNA", at positions 28 to 507 of the family's 1533-position model. The record is from RNAcentral.